Molecule: ribosomal RNA, 444 nt
Filed under: uncultured bacterium
Lineage: Bacteria
Description: SSU rRNA
Rfam family: Bacterial small subunit ribosomal RNA
Source: RNAcentral
AGAACGAACGCUGGCGGCAGGCCUAACACAUGCAAGUCGAACGCUGUAGCAAUACAGAGUGGCAGACGGGUGAGUAACGCGUGGGAACCUUCCCAGUGGUGCGGAAUAGCUCAGGGAAACUUGAGGUAAUACCGCAUAAGCCCUUAGGGGGAAAGAUUUAUCGCCAUUGGAUGGGCCCGCGUCGGAUUAGCUAGUUGGUGAGGUAAUGGCUCACCAAGGCAACGAUCCGUAGCUGGUUUGAGAGAAUGACCAGCCACACUGGGACUGAGACACGGCCCAGACUCCUACGGGAGGCAGCAGUGGGAAUCUUGGACAAUGGGCGCAAGCCUGAUCCAGCCAUGCCGCGUGAGUGACGAAGGCCUUAGGGUUGUAAAGCUCUUUUGCCGGGACGAUAAUGACGGUACCCGGAGAAUAAGUCCCGGCUAACUUCGUGCCAGCAGCCGC